Long non-coding RNA from Cicer arietinum (chickpea), 535 nucleotides. RefSeq lists it as uncharacterized. NCBI's taxonomy places the organism in Eukaryota, Viridiplantae, Streptophyta, Magnoliopsida, Fabales, Fabaceae. The record is from RefSeq and is a predicted model, not a curated record.
UAUUUCAAGGAUUUUUCUACUCUUUACAAAGAGCUGAAAUAUAACAACAGAAGGGAAAUUUAAAUCCUAAAUAUGAAGGGUUCCCAAUCUAUAUCUGUAGGCCCACUUAGAGUUAUAAAGAGGGUGGAAAAAGAAGUGUUUUCUCCAGCUUGAGAGCCAUAGCCUUCCUAGUUACAUCAGGUGGCACAUCUUCUGGUGGAGCUUCUGGUGACAGGUCUAAGGACUCUGCAUUUGAAGCCAAAGUUGCAAAGCUUGUUGAGCUAGGAUUUGGAAGAGAAGCAGUUAUACAAGCUCUUAAAUUAUUCAAUGGAAAUGAGGAACAAGCUGCUGGGUUUCUUUUUGGGGGCUGAAAAGUGCAUUUCUUAUUUGAAAAAAGGAUUAAUUAAUUUAUUACUUCACUUGAUUUUUAUUUUUUGCUAAUUUCAUUUCAAAUUGUAAAAACAAGUUAUAGGCCUGAUGAUUACAUUCACAGUCCACUGUUCAUACUGUAAGGAAUGUUUCUAUUUGAUUGAUAAACUAACUUAUUGUUUCUCAA